GGUAAGUGGAAAGAUGGUGGGCUGCAGAACAUGUGUGUUUCUCAUUUCAUAUGUCUGCUGGCCAUCACCUUGAAGGGUCUC
RNAcentral lists this microRNA precursor (81 nucleotides) under Microtus ochrogaster (prairie vole). RNAcentral's name for it is "miRNA (ENSMOCG00000010823.1)". It matches the Rfam family "mir-654 microRNA precursor family". Lineage: Eukaryota; Metazoa; Chordata; Mammalia; Rodentia; Cricetidae. The record is from RNAcentral.